ACGGAAGGCAGCAGUGGGGGAUAUUGCACAAUGGAGUAAACUCUGAUGCAGCAACGCCGCGUGAGGGAAGAAGGUCUUCGGAUUGUAAACAUUGUCAUUCGUGACGAUAAUGACGGUAGCCGAUGAGGAAGCUCCAGCUAACUACGUGCAAGCAGCCGCGGUAAUACGUAGGGAGCGAGCGUUGUCCGGAAUUACUGGGUGUAAAGGGUGCGUAGGCGGGGAAGCAAGUCAGGCGUGAACACUAUCGGCUUAACUGAUAGACUGCGUUUGAAACUGUUUUUCUUGAGUGAAGUAGAGGUAGGCGGAAUUCCCAGUGUAGCGGGGAAAUGCGUAGAGAUUGGGAGGAACACCAGUGGUGAAGGCGGCCUGCUGGGCUUAAACUGACGCUGAGGCACGAAAGCAUGGGUAGCAAACAGGAUUAGAUACCCUGGUA
RNAcentral lists this ribosomal RNA (433 nucleotides) under uncultured Clostridium sp. RNAcentral describes it as "partial 16S ribosomal RNA". It matches the Rfam family "Bacterial small subunit ribosomal RNA", at positions 341 to 792 of the family's 1533-position model. The record is from RNAcentral. Lineage: Bacteria; Bacillati; Bacillota; Clostridia; Eubacteriales; Clostridiaceae.